Molecule: ribosomal RNA, 1960 nt
Filed under: human gut metagenome
Description: bacterial LSU rRNA
Rfam family: Bacterial large subunit ribosomal RNA
Source: RNAcentral
UCAAGCUACUAAGGGCAUACGGCGGAUGCCUAGGCGCCAUCAGCCGAUGAAGGACGCGGUAAGCUGCGAAAAGCUACGGGGAACUGCAAGCAAGUAUUGAUCCGUAGAUGUCCGAAUGGGGAAACCCACCUGCCGUCAUGGGCAGGUAUCCGAAAGGAAGGGAACCCGGGGAACUGAAACAUCUAAGUACCCGGAGGAAGAGAAAUCAAACGAGAUGCCCACAGUAGCGGCGAGCGAAGAGGGCAGAGGGCAAACCGGGGAGCUACGGCUCUUCGGGGUUGAGGACUGCAUUUAGUCUUAAUGGUCUAUCCGAACUACCUGGAAAGGUAGGCAACACAGUGUAAAAGCCACGUAGGUUAAAGACCAGAGAGAUGAGCAGUAUCCAGAGUACCACGAGGCACGAGGAAUCUUGUGGGAAGCCGGGGGGACCACCCUCCAACCCUAAACACUGAAUGGCGACCGAUAGCGCAUAGUACCGUGAGGGAAAGGUGAAAAGAACCCCGGGAGGGGAGUGAAAGAGAACCUGAAACCGUAUGUCUACAAGCAGUCGGAGCGAAAGCGACGGCGUGCCUAUUGAAGAAUGAACCAACGAGUUACGUGCACUAGCGAGGUUAAGUGGAAGACACGGAGCCGAAGCGAAAGCGAGUCUUAAGAGGGCGGAUAGUUAGUGUACGUAGACCCGAAACCGCAGUGAUCUACCCAUGUCCAGGUUGAAGCGCAGGUAAAAUUGCGUGGAGGACCGAACCUGUGAGCGUUGAAAAGCUUUAGGAUGAGAUGUGGGUAGAGGUGAAAUUCCAAUCGAACGCGGAGAUAGCUGGUUCUCCCCGAAAUAGCUUUAGGGCUAGCCUCAAGUAGUAAGUAUAGGCGGUAGAGCACUGAUCGGGCUAGGGGCCAUAAAGGUUACCGAACCCUGUCAAACUCCGAAUGGUUAUACUGUAGAGCUUGGGAGUCAGACUACGAGUGAUAAGAUCCGUGGUCAAAAGGGAAACAGCCCAGACCACCAGCUAAGGUCCCCAAUGUCGUACUAAGUGGAAAAGGAUGUGGGGUCUCUAAAACAACCAGGAUGUUGGCUUAGAAGCAGCCACCAUUUAAAGAGUGCGUAAUAGCUCACUGGUCGAGAGACCCUGCGCCGAAGAUUACCGGGGCUAAAGUACGAAACCGAAGCUGUGGCUACGACGUAAGUCGUGGGGUAGGGGAGCGUUCUGUGAGGGCUGAAGUCGUUCUGUAAGGAACGGUGGACUUCACAGAAGUGAGAAUGUUGGUAUGAGUAGCGAAAAGAAUGGUGAGAAUCCAUUCCACCGAAAGCAUAAGGAUUCCUGGGCAACGAUCGUCGUCCCAGGGUAAGUCGGGACCUAAUCCGAGGCAUGGAGCGUAGGAGAUGGACAACUGGCAGAUAUUCCAGUACCGGUAAUGAUUGUUUGAGCGAUGGAGUGACACAGGAGGGCAGGCAGGCAGGAGAUUGGUUGUUCCUGUACAAGCGUGUAGGAUGGGACGUAGGCAAAUCCGCGUCCUGUGAGUCUGAGGCGUGAUGUGGAGGUUCCGGAAACGGAACUGAAGCUGCUGACCCCACACUGUCGAGAAAAGCUUCUAGUUAGAGAAUUACCGCCCGUACCGUAAACCGACACAGGUAUGCGGGGAGAGAAUCCUAAGGUGCGCGGGAGAACCCUCGUUAAGGAACUCGGCAAAAUGUACCCGUAACUUCGGGAUAAGGGUAGCCGCUGUUGUGAAGUCUGAACAGACGGAGCAUGAGGCGGUCGCAGAGAAGAGGCCCAAGCGACUGUUUACCACAAACACAGGUGCCUGCUAAAGAGAAAUCUGACGUAUAGGUGCUGACACCUGCCCAGUGCCGGAAGGUUAAGGAAGGAUGUCCGGAGCAAUCCAAAGCAUUCGACCGAAGCCCCGGUGAACGGCGGCCGUAACUAUAACGGUCCUAAGGUAGCGAAAUUCCUUGUCGGGUAAG